UCUCCUGGAAAACGGGUGGUAAUGCCGGAUGCUCCAUCACACCGCAUGGUGUGUUGGGAAAGCCUUUGCGGCAUGGGAUGGGGUCGCGUCCUAUCAGCUUGAUGGCGGGGUAACGGCCCACCAUGGCUUCGACGGGUAGCCGGCCUGAGAGGGCGACCGGCCACAUUGGGACUGAGAUACGGCCCAGACUCCUACGGGAGGCAGCAGUGGGGAAUAUUGCACAAUGGGCGCAAGCCUGAUGCAGCGACGCCGCGUGAGGGAUGGAGGCCUUCGGGUUGUAAACCUCUUUUGUUAGGGAGCAAGGCACUUUGUGUUGAGUGUACCUUUCGAAUAAGCACCGGCUAACUACGUGCCAGCAGCCGCGGUAAUACGUAGGGUGCAAGCGUUAUCCGGAAUUAUUGGGCGUAAAGGGCUCGUAGGCGGUUCGUCGCGUCCGGUGUGAAAGUCCAUCGCUUAACGGUGGAUCCGCGCCGGGUACGGGCGGGCUUGAGUGCGGUAGGGGAGACUGGAAUUCCCGGUGUAACGGUGGAAUGUGUAGAUAUCGGGAAAGAACACC
RNAcentral lists this ribosomal RNA (556 nucleotides) under Bifidobacterium breve. RNAcentral describes it as "bacterial SSU rRNA". It matches the Rfam family "Bacterial small subunit ribosomal RNA", at positions 146 to 710 of the family's 1533-position model. The record is from RNAcentral. Lineage: Bacteria; Bacillati; Actinomycetota; Actinomycetes; Bifidobacteriales; Bifidobacteriaceae.